GACGAACGCUGGCGGCGUGCUUAACACAUGCAAGUCGAACGGAAAGGCCCUGCUUUUGUGGGGUGCUCGAGUGGCGAACGGGUGAGUAACACGUGAGUAACCUGCCCUUGACUUUGGGAUAACUUCAGGAAACUGGGGCUAAUACCGGAUAGGAGCUCCUGCUGCAUGGUGGGGGUUGGAAAGUUUCGGCGGUUGGGGAUGGACUCGCGGCUUAUCAGCUUGUUGGUGGGGUAGUGGCUUACCAAGGGUUUGACGGGUAGCCGGCCUGAGAGGGUGACCGGCCACCAUGGGCAUGGGCAACGGCCCAGACUCCUACGGGAGGCAGCAGUGGGGAAUAUUGCACAAUGGGCGGAAGCCUGAUGCAGCAACGCCGCGUGCGGGAUGACGGCCUUCGGGUUGUAAACCGCUUUCGCCUGUGACGAAGCGUGAGUGACGGUAAUGGGUAAAGAAGCACCGGCUAACUACGUG
Molecule: ribosomal RNA, 468 nt
Filed under: uncultured bacterium
Lineage: Bacteria
Description: partial 16S ribosomal RNA
Rfam family: Bacterial small subunit ribosomal RNA
Source: RNAcentral